GGCUGCUCAUUUUUAUUCGGAUUGUGGUCCUUGGUUUGUUUCUGACAUGGAGAGUUAGACAUCAAAACAAUGAUGCAAUCUGGCUGUGGGGAAUGUCGGUUGUUUGUGAGAUAUGGUUUGCUUUUUCCUGGCUUCUUGACCAACUUCCCAAGCUAUGCCCAAUCAAUCGGGCCACAGAUCUUAAUGUCUUGAAGGAGAAAUUUGAAACACCGAAUCCAAGUAACCCCACAGGUAAAUCUGAUCUCCCAGGCAUAGAUGUCUACGUCUCUACUGCAGAUCCAGAGAAAGAACCACCUCUUGUCACUGCAAACACUAUUUUGUCAAUCCUUGCUGCUGAUUACCCUGUUGAAAAACUUUCUUGUUAUGUUUCUGAUGAUGGAGGUGCGCUUCUAACAUUUGAGGCCAUGGCAGAAGCAGCAAGUUUUGCUAAUAUUUGGGUUCCCUUCUGCCGUAAACAUGGCAUUGAGCCCAGAAAUCCAGAGUCUUACUUCACUUUGAAGAGGGAUCCUUAUAAGAACAAAGUGCGCCCUGAUUUUGUCAAGGAUCGCAGGAGAGCAAAGCGUGAAUAUGAUGAGUUCAAGGUCCGAAUCAAUGGCUUGCCUGAUUCUAUUCGCCGCCGAUCUGAUGCCUAUCAUGCUCGUGAGGAAAUCAAGGCAAUGAAACUUCAAAGACAGAAUAGAGAUGAUGAAACUGUGGAGAGCGUAAAGAUUCCAAAAGCUACGUGGAUGGCUGAUGGUACCCACUGGCCAGGGACUUGGAUGCAUCCUGCUCCUGAGCAUUCUAGGGGUGACCAUGCUGGUAUAAUACAGGUGAUGUUGAAACCUCCUAGUGAUGAACCACUGCAUGGAAAUGCUGAUGAUACAAGGAUCAUGGAUUUUACUGAUGUUGAUAUUCGUCUACCACUACUCGUUUAUGUUUCUCGCGAGAAACGUCCUGGCUAUGAUCACAACAAGAAGGCAGGGGCCAUGAAUGCGCUUGUUAGAGCCUCAGCCAUUAUGUCUAAUGGGCCAUUCAUUCUCAACCUUGAUUGUGAUCAUUACAUUUACAACUCCCAAGCAAUGAGAGAAGGCAUGUGCUUCAUGAUGGAUCGAGGAGGUGACCGCAUCUGUUAUGUUCAGUUCCCUCAGAGGUUUGAGGGUAUUGACCCUUCUGAUCGAUAUGCUAAUCACAACACUGUUUUCUUUGAUGUCAAUAUGCGUGCCCUUGAUGGUCUUAUGGGGCCAGUUUAUGUUGGAACGGGAUGUCUCUUUAGAAGGACUGCCCUGUAUGGCUUUGAUCCUCCUCGAGCAAAAGAACAUCACCCAGGUUGCUUCAGCUCUUGCUUUACCCGUCGCAAGAAGCAUUCUUCUGUUGGAAACAACCCAGAAGAGAACAGGGCAUUAAGAAUGGGUGAUUCUGAUGAUGAAGAGAUGAACCUCUCCCAGUUCCCAAAGAUGUUUGGCAACUCGACAUUCCUCAUUGAUUCAAUCCCAGUGGCAGAGUUUCAAGGUCGCCCCCUUGCUGAUCACCCAGCUGUUAAGAAUGGACGCCCACCUGGUGCCCUUACCAUUCCUCGUGAACUUCUUGAUGCUUCAACUGUUGCAGAGGCAGUCAGUGUCAUCUCUUGCUGGUACGAAGAUAAGACAGAGUGGGGACAGCGAGUUGGGUGGAUUUAUGGGUCUGUUACUGAAGAUGUUGUCACUGGUUAUAGGAUGCACAACAGGGGAUGGAAAUCAGUUUAUUGCGUCACCAAGCGUGAUGCCUUCCGUGGAACUGCACCAAUCAAUCUCACGGACAGGCUUCAUCAAGUCCUCAGGUGGGCUACUGGUUCGGUUGAGAUUUUCUUCUCUCGCAACAAUGCCCUUCUGGCCAGCCCGAGAAUGAAAUUUCUGCAGAGGAUAGCAUAUCUCAAUGUUGGUAUCUACCCAUUUACUUCCAUCUUUCUGAUUGUCUACUGCUUCCUACCUGCACUGUCCCUCUUCUCCGGCCAGUUCAUUGUCCAGACCCUUAAUGUUACUUUCCUUGUGUACCUACUUGUGAUCUCUCUGACUCUAUGUUUACUUGCUUUGCUUGAGAUCAAAUGGUCUGGCAUUGCACUAGAGGAGUGGUGGAGAAAUGAACAGUUUUGGUUAAUUGGAGGGACUAGCGCCCACUUGGCUGCUGUGCUUCAGGGGUUGCUGAAAGUUAUUGCAGGAAUUGAAAUUUCUUUUACCUUGACGUCAAAAUCAGCUGGUGAUGAUGUGGAUGAUGAGUUUGCUGACCUUUACCUUGUCAAAUGGACAUCUUUGAUGAUACCACCAAUUGUGAUCAUGAUGGUCAACUUAAUUGCAAUAGCUGUUGGAGUUAGCCGCACAAUAUACAGCGUCAUACCGCAGUGGAGCCGUCUGUUAGGUGGGGUUUUCUUCAGUUUCUGGGUCUUGGCUCAUCUCUACCCCUUCGCGAAAGGGCUGAUGGGAAGACGAGGAAGUACACCGACCAUUGUUUUUGUGUGGUCAGGACUUAUCGCAAUCACCAUAUCCCUCCUUUGGGUGGCUAUUAAUCCACCCUCUAAUACUGACCAAAUUGGAGGCUCAUUCCAGUUCCCUUGAUAGGCCAUUCAUUUCUGUUGAGUUGCAUUUGUUCAAUGACAUUCCUUCAUUAGAUUUUUAACUUAUAUAU
RNAcentral lists this unclassified non-coding RNA (2637 nucleotides) under Hevea brasiliensis (rubber tree). Lineage: Eukaryota; Viridiplantae; Streptophyta; Magnoliopsida; Malpighiales; Euphorbiaceae. The record is from RNAcentral.